AGAGUUUGAUCAUGGCUCAGAACGUACGCUGGCGGCACGCCUAACACAUGCAAGUCGAACGAAGUAGCAAUACUUAGUGGCAGACGGGUGAGUAACAUGUAGGUAUCUGCCCUUUGGCCUGGAAUAACACGAGGAAACUUGUGCUAAUACCGGAUAAGUCUUUACGGAGAAAGCUUUAUGCACCAUUGGAUGAGCCUGCACUUGACUAGUUUGUUGGUGGGGUAAUGGCCUACCAAGACUGUGAUCAAUAGCUGAUUUGAGAGGAUGAUCAGCCACAUUGGGACUGAGACACGGCCCAAACUCCUACGGGAGGCAGCAGUGGGGAAUCUUGCACAAUGGAGGAAACUCUGAUGCAGCGAUGCCGCGUGAGUGAAGAAGGCCCUUGGGUUGUAAAGCUCUUUCGUCGGGGAAGAAAAUGACUGUACCCGAAUAAGAAGGUCCGGCUAACUUCGUGCCAGCAGCCGCGGUAAUACGAAGGGACCUAGCGUAGUUCGGAAUUACUGGGCUUAAAGAGUUCGUAGGUGGUUGAAAAAGUUGGUGGUGAAAUCCCAGUGCUUAACUCUGGAACUGCCAUCAAAACUUUUCAGCUAGAGUAUGAUAGAGGAAAGCAGAAUUUCUAGUGUAGAGGUGAAAUUCGUAGAUAUUAGAAAGAAUACCAAUUGCGAAGGCAGCUUUCUGGAUCAUUACUGACACUGAGGAACGAAAGCAUGGGUAGCGAAGAGGAUUAGAUACCCUCGUAGUCCAUGCCGUAAACGAUGUGUGUUAGACGUUGGAAAUUUAUUUUCAGUGUCGCAGCGAAAGCGAUAAACACACCGCCUGGGGAGUACGACCGCAAGGUUAAAACUCAAAUGAAUUGACGGGGACCCGCACAAGUAGUGGAGCAUGUGGUUUAAUUCGAAGAUACGCGCAGAACCUUACCAACACUUGACAUGUUCGUCGCGACUUUAAGAGAUUAAAGUUUUCGGUUCGGCCGGACGAAACACAGGUGCUGCAUGGCUGUCGUCAGCUCGUGUCGUGAGAUGUUGGGUUAAGUCCCGCAACGAGCGCAACCCUCACUUUUAGUUGCCAUCAUUUAGUUGGGCACUCUGAAAGAACUGCCAGUGAUAAGCUGGAGGAAGGUGGGGAUGACGUCAAGUCCUCAUGGCCCUUACGUGUUGGGCUACACACGUGCUACAAUGGUAUCUACAACAGGAAGCAAAACUGCGAGGUUAAGCAAAUCCUUAAAAGAUACCUCAGUUCGGAUUGCACUCUGCAACUCGAGUGCAUGAAGCUGGAAUUACUAGUAAUCGUGGAUCAGCGUGCCACGGUGAAUGCGUUCCC
This 1320-nucleotide ribosomal RNA is filed under the name uncultured bacterium. RNAcentral describes it as "bacterial SSU rRNA". It matches the Rfam family "Bacterial small subunit ribosomal RNA", at positions 8 to 1375 of the family's 1533-position model. The record is from RNAcentral.